RNAcentral lists this ribosomal RNA (254 nucleotides) under uncultured bacterium. RNAcentral describes it as "partial 16S ribosomal RNA". It matches the Rfam family "Bacterial small subunit ribosomal RNA", at positions 524 to 776 of the family's 1533-position model. The record is from RNAcentral.
UACGGGGGGAGCAAGCGUUGUUCGGAUUUACUGGGCGUAAAGGGCGCGUAGGCGGCCACCGCAAGUCGACUGUGAAAUCUCCGGGCUUAACCCGGAAAGGUCAGCCGAUACUGCGGGGCUAGAGUGCAGAAGGGGCAACUGGAAUUCUCGGUGUAGCGGUGAAAUGCGUAGAUAUCGAGAGGAACACCUGCGGCGAAGGCGGGUCUCUGGGCCGUAACUGACGCUGAGGAGCGAAAGCAUGGGGAGCGAACAGG